UACGGAGGGUGCAAGCGUUGUCCGGAUUUAUUGGGUUUAAAGGGUGCGUAGGCGGCCCGUUAAGUCAGCGGUGAAAUCCCGGGGCUCAACCCCGGAACUGCCCUGGAUACUGGCGGGCUUGAGUCCAGACGAGGUUGGCGGAAUGGAUGCUGUAGCGGUGAAAUGCAUAGAUAGCAUCCAGAACCCCGAUUGCGUAGGCAGCUGACUAGGCUGGUACUGACACUGAGGCACGAAAGCGUGGGGAGCGAACAGG
This 253-nucleotide ribosomal RNA is filed under the name uncultured bacterium. Its description in RNAcentral is "partial 16S ribosomal RNA". It matches the Rfam family "Bacterial small subunit ribosomal RNA", at positions 524 to 776 of the family's 1533-position model. The record is from RNAcentral.